This is a long non-coding RNA of Asterias rubens (European starfish), 439 nucleotides long. RefSeq lists it as uncharacterized. The transcript is spliced from 3 exons. The record is from RefSeq and is a predicted model, not a curated record. NCBI's taxonomy places the organism in Eukaryota, Metazoa, Echinodermata, Asteroidea, Forcipulatida, Asteriidae.
AGCAGCAAGAAGGUCAUACUGCCAAGCCAUUCUGCCUUGUAUUCAUGAUGUGCCAACAACGCCGAAGAUAGAGUUGUGUUGGUACUCUAUGCUCAGCUCCUUGAGCCAUAAACUAAAAGCAUAGCAGGGUGACAUUUGUCACCAAAAUAUCUGAACCAGAUAAUUGGCUGGGGCAGAACCACCAAUGUAUUGACUAUGGCUAAGAGUAUCCUCCAAGAUGACCAGGGAACGGGUGAGGUUGCUGAAUCCAGUAGACGAUACGUCAGGGCAGACAGUGAAGUCGGCAGGGCUGGGCUUAUGUAUGCAAAAGAAUAUAAAACCAAAAGACCGAGUGCUGAUAUUGAAACGCGUCGAUGACAAAUCUUCCUCCCCUGCUCACUUCAAAUCACAGAGUCCAAUGCUCUAGCCAACCAUUCCAGAGGAAUCCAUGAACAUGGAC